CAGUCGCCGCGGUAAUACAGAGGGUGCGAGCGUUAAUCGGAUUUACUGGGCGUAAAGCGUGCGUAGGCGGCUUUUUAAGUCGGAUGUGAAAUCCCUGAGCUUAACUUAGGAAUUGCAUUCGAUACUGGGAAGCUAGAGUAUGGGAGAGGAUGGUAGAAUUUCAGGUGUAGCGGUGAAAUGCGUAGAGAUCUGGAGGAAUACCGAUGGCGAAGGCAGCCAUCUGGCCUAAUACUGACGCUGAGGUACGAAAGCAUGGGGAGCAAACAGGAUUAGAUACCCCCGUAGUCCCUGUCUCUUAUAC
This 301-nucleotide ribosomal RNA is filed under the name uncultured bacterium. RNAcentral's name for it is "partial 16S ribosomal RNA". It matches the Rfam family "Bacterial small subunit ribosomal RNA", at positions 509 to 807 of the family's 1533-position model. The record is from RNAcentral.